This is a long non-coding RNA of Gymnodraco acuticeps, 446 nucleotides long. RefSeq lists it as uncharacterized. The record is from RefSeq and is a predicted model, not a curated record. NCBI's taxonomy places the organism in Eukaryota, Metazoa, Chordata, Actinopteri, Perciformes, Bathydraconidae. The transcript has 2 exons.
AACAAAUACGUGAUUAAAUGCUACAGUAUUCAGCAAACACAACUGCAGAGCUGCAAACAUUGCAAACAGACUAAGUUCAACAACACCCAGUUGUGUGGUGGUUGCAUUCUCCAGCCACCUUCCUUGUGUGUGUGUUUUCCCUUUCCCUGUCUGUGUGGGCGUGGUGCCUGUCAUUCCUGGCUCCCGGCUCAAAUCUCCACCAGCUGCAAACAGUUGAGCACUCUCCUCUGCGACACACCUCAUUCCCAUCAGCCAUUACGGAUGGUAUAUCAGCGGAGGCUCCACAACCUGUCAGCGCCAGAUCGUUGUUAGACCCCAGUGGAUUACGCUUCAGUGGAUUACGUUCCAGUGGAUUAAAACUCCGGAGGAUACUCUUCAGUGGAUUACGCUCCAGUGGAUACUCUCCAGCCGGAUUAUCUCCUCCAAAUAAAACCUUUGUAACACAC